CGAUGAUGCCCACUUGUGGGUGGAUUAGUGGCGAACGGGUGAGUAACACGUGAGUAACCUGCCCUUAACUCUGGGAUAAGCCUGGGAAACUGGGUCUAAUACCGGAUAUGACUCCUCAUCGCAUGGUGGGGGGUGGAAAGCUUUUUUGUGGUUUUGGAUGGACUCGCGGCCUAUCAGCUUGUUGGUGAGGUAAUGGCUCACCAAGGCGACGACGGGUAGCCGGCCUGAGAGGGUGACCGGCCACACUGGGACUGAGACACGGCCCAGACUCCUACGGGAGGCAGCAGUGGGGAAUAUUGCACAAUGGGCGCAAGCCUGAUGCAGCGACGCCGCGUGAGGGAUGACGGCCUUCGGGUUGUAAACCUCUUUCAGUAGGGAAGAAGCGAAAGUGACGGUACCUGCAGAAGAAGCGCCGGCUAACUACGUGCCAGCAGCCGCGGUAAUACGUAGGGCGCAAGCGUUAUCCGGAAUUAUUGGGCGUAAAGAGCUCGUAGGCGGUUUGUCGCGUCUGCCGUGAAAGUCCGGGGCUCAACUCCGGAUCUGCGGUGGGUACGGGCAGACUAGAGUGAUGUAGGGGAGACUGGAAUUCCUGGUGUAGCGGUGAAAUGCGCAGAUAUCAGGAGGAACACCGAUGGCGAAGGCAGGUCUCUGGGCAUUAACUGACGCUGAGGAGCGAAAGCAUGGGGAGCGAACAGGAUUAGAUACCCUGGUAGUCCAUGCCGUAAACGUUGGGCACUAGGUGUGGGGGACAUUCCACGUUUUCCGCGCCGUAGCUAACGCAUUAAGUGCCCCGCCUGGGGAGUACGGCCGCAAGGCUAAAACUCAAAGGAAUUGACG
RNAcentral lists this ribosomal RNA (837 nucleotides) under Arthrobacter sp. 4AL.1. RNAcentral describes it as "bacterial SSU rRNA". It matches the Rfam family "Bacterial small subunit ribosomal RNA", at positions 67 to 915 of the family's 1533-position model. The record is from RNAcentral. Lineage: Bacteria; Bacillati; Actinomycetota; Actinomycetes; Micrococcales; Micrococcaceae.